UAGAACUUAGGUUAAUCAAACUUUGAAUUUUCAAGAUUCAAGAUGCGUGGCAGUUCUAG
RNAcentral lists this transfer RNA (59 nucleotides) under Centrorhynchus aluconis. Its description in RNAcentral is "tRNA-Trp". The record is from RNAcentral. Lineage: Eukaryota; Metazoa; Acanthocephala; Palaeacanthocephala; Polymorphida; Centrorhynchidae.